CGCUGUCCCUCCAUCAGGUUAUAAACAGCACCAGGACGCACACCGGUCUGCCAGUUGGGGAGGAGGCCGUGUUAAUCUUCCGCUGUGGAGGUCCUUGUGAGGCUGUUGUUGGUUGUUCCAACAUCGUCUGCUGAAGCCGAGAGGAGUUUCAGUGCACUGAGGAGGUUGAAGACCUGGCUUCGCAACUGCAUGAAGCAGAAAUGCCUGAACAAUGUGGCAGUUUCUCACAUACACCAAGAAAGGAUUGAUGCCUUGGACAGGAAGAAACUCUGCCAGGAAUUCAUCAUUGCCAAUGACCGAAGACAACAUGUGUUUGGAAGCUUCAUGUAGCUGAGAAGCCGCAAAUAUACUAACUGAGGCUGGUGGAUCUGUUAACCUCGCCACUGUGUGAAAGAAACAAAGAGAUAACAAAUACAGUGUUAUCAGACAAACCGUGUAAUUAUAAAUAUACACCCUUUCACACCUUAAUUGCCACGAUCAUCCUGUAAGGCUUAACAAGACGAGAAACUACUAUAACUGCCUAAAAUGACAGUGGUUCUGUGUUACAUUAAUUUUAAAUAAAUUUGAUCACUUGACUACUUA
Molecule: long non-coding RNA, 582 nt
Organism: Pleuronectes platessa (European plaice)
Lineage: Eukaryota; Metazoa; Chordata; Actinopteri; Pleuronectiformes; Pleuronectidae
Exons: 2
Source: RefSeq, a predicted model, not a curated record